Molecule: ribosomal RNA, 520 nt
Filed under: uncultured Glomeromycotina
Lineage: Eukaryota; Fungi; Glomeromycota
Description: SSU rRNA
Rfam family: Eukaryotic small subunit ribosomal RNA
Source: RNAcentral
AGCAGCCGCGGUAAUUCCAGCUCCAAUAGCGUAUAUUAAAGUUGUUGCAGUUAAAAAGCUCGUAGUUGAAUUUCGGGAUCAAUUUAUCGGUCGUGCCUUCGGUAUGCACUGGUAUUAUUGAUUUCUACCUUCUGACGAACUAUGAUGUCAUUAAUUUGGUGUCAUGGGGAAUCAGGACUGUUACUUUGAAAAAUUAGAGUGUUUAAAGCAGGCACACGCUUGAAUACAUUAGCAUGGAAUAAUGAAAUAGGACGUUUGACCCUAUUUUGUUGGUUUUUAGGAUCGACGUAAUGAUUAAUAGGGAUAGUUGGGGGCAUUAGUAUUCAAUUGUCAGAGGUGAAAUUCUUGGAUUUAUUGAAGACUAACUACUGCGAAAGCAUUUGCCAAGGAUGUUUUCAUUAAUCAAGAACGAAAGUUAGGGGAUCGAAGACGAUCAGAUACCGUCGUAGUCUUAACCAUAAACUAUGCCGACUAGGGAUCGGGAUGAUGUUAAUUUUUUAAUGUACUCAUUCGGCGCCUU